This 455-nucleotide ribosomal RNA is filed under the name uncultured Prevotellaceae bacterium. RNAcentral describes it as "bacterial SSU rRNA". It matches the Rfam family "Bacterial small subunit ribosomal RNA", at positions 341 to 792 of the family's 1533-position model. Lineage: Bacteria; Pseudomonadati; Bacteroidota; Bacteroidia; Bacteroidales; Prevotellaceae. The record is from RNAcentral.
ACGGGAGGCAGCAGUGAGGAAUAUUGGUCAAUGGGCGGAAGCCUGAACCAGCCAAGUAGCGUGUAGGAAGACUGCCCUAUGGGUUGUAAACUACUUUUAUACGGGAACAAAGUCACUUACGAGUUAGGUGUUUGCGUGUACCGUAGGAAUAAGCAUCGGCUAAUUCCGUGCCAGCAGCCGCGGUAAUACGGAAGAUGCGAGCGUUAUCCGGAUUUAUUGGGUUUAAAGGGAGCGUAGGCGGGUAUUCAAGUCAGUUGUGAAAGUCUGCGGCUUAACCGUAGAAUUGCAGUUGAUACUGAAUAUCUUGAGUGCACAUAAGGAUGGUGGAAUUUGUGGUGUAGCGGUGAAAUGCAUAGAUAUCACGAAGAACUCCGAUUGCGAAGGCAGCUAUCUGGGGUGCUACUGACGCUGAGGCUCGAAAGUGCGGGUAUCAAACAGGAUUAGAUACCCUGGUA